Molecule: non-coding RNA, 916 nt
Organism: Microcebus murinus (gray mouse lemur)
Lineage: Eukaryota; Metazoa; Chordata; Mammalia; Primates; Cheirogaleidae
Source: RefSeq, a predicted model, not a curated record
UUAUAUUUUCUGUUAUUAAUGGCCCCGAAUUUCUUACAGAGGCAUUUAAAUUCCUCUUUAUUGAUUUUAUUUUUAUUUAGUGUUUUGGAGACAGGGUCUGGCUCUGUUGCCCUGGUUAGAGUGCAGUAGUGUCAUCAUAACUUACCACAACCUCAAAUUCCUGUGCUCAAGUGAUCCUCUUUGUCUUAGCCUUACAAGUAGCUGAGACUUUAGGUACAUAUCACUACACCUGGCUGAUUUUUCUAUUUUUUGUAGAGAAGAGGUCUCACUAUGUUUCCCUGGCUGGCUUCUAACUGCUGCCCUCAGUGAAUCCAUCCUUGGCCUCCCAAAGUGAUCGGAUUACUGGUGUGAGCCAUGGCGCCUAGCCUGAAUUCCUCCUUAAACAAUGGCCAAGAAACGAAGCCCCCAUGGAAAGAAGAGCUUCCGGGUUAGCGAACACGUAGCGGAAACAAUCGAUAGCGCGAUCCUUCCACAUGCCUUCUCCUGUGCUUCGCUUCCAUCUGGAUAUUCCUGAGACCUAGCCUUUGUGAUAAACCUGCACUCUAUGGCAGUGAUCUUUUAUUAAAAGCUUGAUGAGGCAGAAACCUUUACAGAAGUUAAAGUCACUAAAGAAACCAGGAGGAUUUCAGCUGGAAAGUGAUGGAGAAGGCAAGGCCUAAAGGAAAGUCAGUGGAGUUCAUGAGACUGGAGUACAAAAGGAAUGGCCUUUUAUUUGAAGAGAACAUCAGAUGGACAUCAUUACCAGAAUGGAAUCUGAGUGAGGUAACCAUUCACAUGACAAGGAGGAUUUUUUUAUUGGCCUACUCUGUUUUGGUGUUACACUGUUUUUAGUUAAGCUGUGAAAGUGCAAUAAAAUGGAAGAAACAGCUCUCAGAUAAUGUGUAUUUAUCUCAUCUGUGGUUGAUUCUCAUUGGAC